UGGUCUGUAGCUCAAUCGGCAGAGCGUCCGUCUCCAAAGCGGAAUGUCGCAGGUUCGAGUCCUGCCAGGCCAG
Molecule: transfer RNA, 73 nt
Filed under: Kitasatospora viridis
Lineage: Bacteria; Bacillati; Actinomycetota; Actinomycetes; Kitasatosporales; Streptomycetaceae
Rfam family: tRNA
About the family: Transfer RNA (tRNA) molecules are approximately 80 nucleotides in length. Their secondary structure includes four short double-helical elements and three loops (D, anti-codon, and T loops).
Source: Rfam by way of RNAcentral